UAACGGUCCUAAGGUAGCGAAAUUCCUUGUCGGGUAAGUUCCGACCUGCACGAAUCGUGUAACGAGUUGUCCGCUGUCUCAACGAGGGGCUCAGUGAAAUUGUAAUAGCAGUGAAGAUGCUGCUUACCCGCAGAAGGACGGAAAGACCCUAUGCACCUUAACUGUAAGCUGUCACUGGUCGUUUGGUUUUCAUGCUUAGCGUAAGUGGGAGGCUUUGAAGCGAUACUUUCGGGUAUCGCAGAGCCAACGAUGAAACACCACCCUUGGGUAUUGAACGAUCUAACCGCAGUCCAUGAAUCUGGAUGUGGGACCAUGUCAGCCGGUCAGUUUUACUGGGGCGGUAUCCUCCCAAAGAGUAACGGAGGAGCGCGAAGGUUGGCUCAGCGUGGUUGGCAAUCACGUGUUGAGUGCAUUGGCAUAAGCCAGCCUAACUGUGAGACUUACAGGUCGAACAGAUGCGAAAGCAGGCCAAAGUGAUCCGGCGGUUUAAUGUGGAAUUGCCGUCGCUUAACGGACAAAAGGUACGCUAGGGAUAACAGGCUGAUUUCAUCCAAGAGUUCAUAUCGACGAUGAAGUUUGGCACCUCGAUGUCGGCUCGUCGCAUCCUGGGGCUGGAGAAGGUCCCAAGGGUCCGGCUGUUCGCCGGUUAAAGCGGCACGCGAGCUGGGUUCAGAACGUCGCGAGACAGUUCGGUCCUCUAUCCUCUGUGGGCGCAGGAAAGUUGAGGGGUUUAAUUCCUAGUACGAGAGGACCGGAAUUAACGCACCUCUGGUGUUCCAGUUGUUCUGUCAAGAGCAUCGCUGGGCAGCUAUGUGCGGAAGGGAUAAGCGCUGAAAGCAUCUAAGUGCCAAGCCCAUCCCAAGAUAAGCUUUCCCUGAAGGAUCGUGGAAGACUACCACGUUGAUAGGCCGCGGGUGCAAGCGCAGUAAUGUGUUCAGCUCAGUGGUACUAAUCAUCCGUUUGUCUUGCAUUGCUCCAUCU
RNAcentral lists this ribosomal RNA (981 nucleotides) under Prosthecobacter sp. RNAcentral describes it as "partial 23S ribosomal RNA". It matches the Rfam family "Bacterial large subunit ribosomal RNA", at positions 1943 to 2925 of the family's 2925-position model. Lineage: Bacteria; Pseudomonadati; Verrucomicrobiota; Verrucomicrobiia; Verrucomicrobiales; Verrucomicrobiaceae. The record is from RNAcentral.